This 515-nucleotide ribosomal RNA is filed under the name Ruminococcus sp. M76. RNAcentral describes it as "bacterial SSU rRNA". It matches the Rfam family "Bacterial small subunit ribosomal RNA", at positions 8 to 521 of the family's 1533-position model. The record is from RNAcentral. Lineage: Bacteria; Bacillati; Bacillota; Clostridia; Eubacteriales; Oscillospiraceae.
AGAGUUUGAUCCUGGCUCAGGAUGAACGCUGGCGGCGUGCCUAACACAUGCAAGUCGAGCGAAGCACUUUACUUUGAGAUCUUCGGAAGGAUAAGUUUUGUGACUGAGCGGCGGACGGGUGAGUAACGCGUGGGUAACCUGCCUCAUACAGGGGGAUAACAGUUAGAAAUGACUGCUAAUACCGCAUAAGACCACAGCACCGCAUGGUGCAGUGGUAAAAACUCCGGUGGUAUGAGAUGGACCCGCGUCUGAUUAGCUAGUUGGCAGGGUAACGGCCUACCAAGGCGACGAUCAGUAGCCGACCUGAGAGGGUGACCGGCCACAUUGGGACUGAGACACGGCCCAAACUCCUACGGGAGGCAGCAGUGGGGAAUAUUGCACAAUGGGGGAAACCCUGAUGCAGCGACGCCGCGUGAGCGAUGAAGUAUUUCGGUAUGUAAAGCUCUAUCAGCAGGGAAGAAACUGACGGUACCUGACUAAGAAGCACCGGCUAAAUACGUGCCAGCAGCCGCGGU